This 131-nucleotide non-coding RNA is filed under the name Danio rerio (zebrafish). RNAcentral's name for it is "Eukaryotic large subunit ribosomal RNA". It matches the Rfam family "Eukaryotic large subunit ribosomal RNA", at positions 1201 to 1332 of the family's 3401-position model. Lineage: Eukaryota; Metazoa; Chordata; Actinopteri; Cypriniformes; Danionidae. The record is from Rfam by way of RNAcentral.
UCAUCAGACCCCAUAAAAGGUGUUGGUUACAAUAGACAGCAGGACUUUGGCCAUAAAAGUCAGCACCCGCCACAGAGUGUGUAACAACUCACCUGCCAAAUCAACUAGAUCUAAAAAUGGAUGGCACUGCA